AGAAUCAACGCUGGCGGCGUGCCUAACACAUGCAAGUCGAACGAGAAAGUGGAGCAAUCCAUGAGUAAAGUGGCGCACGGGUGAGUAACACGUGACUAACCUACCCUUGAGUGGGGGAUAACCUCGGGAAACCGGGGCUAAUACCGCAUAACAUCGAGAGAUCAAAGGAGCAAUUCGCUUAAGGAGGGGGUCGCGGCUGAUUAGCUAGUUGGUGAGGUAAUGGCUCACCAAGGCUAUGAUCAGUAUCCGGCCUGAGAGGGCGCACGGACACACUGGAACUGAAACACGGUCCAGACUCCUACGGGAGGCAGCAGUGGGGAAUUUUGCGCAAUGGGGGAAACCCUGACGCAGCAACGCCGCGUGGAGGAUGAAGUCCCUUGGGACGUAAACUCCCUUCGAUCGGGACGAUAAUGACGGUACCGGAAGAAGAAGCCCGGCUAACUUCGUGCCAGCAGCCGC
This 459-nucleotide ribosomal RNA is filed under the name uncultured bacterium. RNAcentral's name for it is "SSU rRNA". It matches the Rfam family "Bacterial small subunit ribosomal RNA", at positions 26 to 518 of the family's 1533-position model. The record is from RNAcentral.